Molecule: ribosomal RNA, 253 nt
Filed under: uncultured bacterium
Lineage: Bacteria
Description: partial 16S ribosomal RNA
Rfam family: Bacterial small subunit ribosomal RNA
Source: RNAcentral
UACGUAGGGUGCAAGCGUUGUCCGGAUUUAUUGGGUUUAAAGGGUGCGUAGGCGGCCCGUUAAGUCAGUGGUGAAAGCCUCCAGCUCAACUGGAGAACUGCCGUUGAUACUGGCGGGCUUGAGUACAGACGAGGUAGGCGGAAUUGAUUGUGUAGCGGUGAAAUGCAUAGAUACAAUCAAGAACACCGAUUGCGUAGGCAGCUUACUAGGCUGUAACUGACGCUGAGGCACGAAAGCGUGGGGAGCGAACAGG